Molecule: ribosomal RNA, 300 nt
Filed under: uncultured bacterium
Lineage: Bacteria
Description: bacterial SSU rRNA
Rfam family: Bacterial small subunit ribosomal RNA
Source: RNAcentral
UGGACGAAAGUCUGACGGAGCAACGCCGCGUGAGUGAUGAAGGAUUUCGGUCUGUAAAGCUCUGUUGUUUAUGACGAAGUGCAGUGUGUGAACAAUGCAUUGCAAUGACGGUAGUAAACGAGGAAGCCACGGCUAACUACGUGCCAGCAGCCGCGGUAAUACGUAGGUGGCGAGCGUUGUCCGGAAUUAUUGGGCGUAAAGAGCAUGUAGGCGGCUUAAUAAGUCGAGCGUGAAAAUGCGGGGCUCAACCCCGUAUGGCGCUGGAAACUGUUAGGCUUGAGUGCAGGAGAGGAAAGGGGA